Molecule: small RNA, 108 nt
Filed under: Marmota monax (woodchuck)
Lineage: Eukaryota; Metazoa; Chordata; Mammalia; Rodentia; Sciuridae
Source: RNAcentral
GCCAAGUGUGGUGGUGCACACCUGUAAUCCCAAUGAUUUGGAGGCUGAGGCAGGAGGAUCACUAGUUCAAGGUCAAACUCGGCAACUUAGUGAAAGACCCUAUCUCAA